This 203-nucleotide long non-coding RNA is filed under the name Elaeis guineensis (African oil palm). Its description in RNAcentral is "long non-coding RNA (EGUI_LNC008763)". Lineage: Eukaryota; Viridiplantae; Streptophyta; Magnoliopsida; Arecales; Arecaceae. The record is from RNAcentral.
AUCUUUAUUCGAAAUUGAUAACAUCAAUCAUGGUUAAUCCAUAUUGAGUCAUCCUGAUAUGAUCUUUGAUGAUCUCGAUCAUGAUUGCCUCGUCUGAAGGAUACAAAAAUUCUCUCUAUUUUCUCUCUCCACUUUCUCUCUCUAGAAUUUUCUCUCUCUUCAUGAAUUUUCUCUCUCUAGAAGUCUUAUGGAUCAAUGGAGGA